This is an RNA transcript of Halichondria panicea, 4992 nucleotides long. RefSeq lists it as uncharacterized. NCBI's taxonomy places the organism in Eukaryota, Metazoa, Porifera, Demospongiae, Suberitida, Halichondriidae. The transcript has 12 exons. The record is from RefSeq and is a predicted model, not a curated record.
UGGUUUUAAGUGGAGUUGCGUACUCUUCCUAAUGAACUCUUGGUGUUACAUAUCCUAUGUGAUUAGUAAUAUGCUACUCCCCUACCAUGUUAGGUUUAUUAAUGCUGAGUCAGCUAAACAUGUUUUAAUCCUCACCCAGAGGACGCAGGAGCAAUAGUCUAAUAAUUACGGUCUUAAUGACGAAUGUUAUUCAUUGCCUUUCCUACAGCAGUUGAGAUUUUUAUCAGCCUCAAGUGAUUCUGACCUUUUUUCAGUGUACGGCCUAUAGUCAGUCAUUGGAGUUGGUUUUUAUGUACUGACUGUCAGACAAUUGUCUCAUUCCUCCUCCAGUGACCUCUGACCCUCUGUCUGGUCAACAGACACCCAGUGCUGGCGAUGAACAACCAGAAACAACUGAUACUCAAAAUGAUUCCACACAACUUUCAACGGAUGACCAAACCUUGUCAAGCACUCCAUUGACUGAGGAAGACUCUGAUGCUCUAGAAAAGCUGCUCCUAGACAACAAAAUCUCUUUGACUGGUGAAAGGACAUAUGAGACAGUAGUUCACCACCUUCGUGAGCUCGGACAUAUGGAACUUGCAGCCAACCUGAGGGAAAACCUCGACAAAGUUAUCAAAUGGCAGCGUCGAUACCUCGAUAGACUCAUGACUCUAAUGGUUGAUAAAGAAACAAUCGAUAUGUGCACUCUGAAACUGUGUCUCGUUGGUCCCCCUCACGUUGGGAAGACAACCACACUCAAUCGUCUACUGCAAGUGUAUGAAAACAUUCAAUCAGCUGGAGACAAAGCGAAACAUCCAAGCACUCUACUAGCUAACUGUAUCCAAGUUAUGGCGUUGAUUAAUAAAGAUGAGUGGAUAUCUUCCAAGGAUGUCGAUGAAGAAGCCAAGAUGAUAUUUGGUUAUCUAUGUGGCAAUUUAACUCUCGAUGAAAUAGAUAUACCCAAUGAAGAAUCGACAAAGGCCACCCGAUCUGAAGAAACAGUACCUUACAAAGUCCACACACAAACUGUACAACAAGCCACACUUACCGACUCUGAGGAUAAAGCCGCUGUAACCCACAGCAACAAACUAGCACAGGUCAUUCUUCGACUGCAAAAGCUGAUAAAGAGCGGAAACUACUCCCAAAUGGCCAAAUGUCUUGGCAACACCUUGCUGAACAUAAACGAUGUCGGAGGCCAACCAGAAUUCCUAGAAAUGCUACCAGCCCUGAGCAAUGGUCCUGCCAUGUAUCUAGUGUUCUUGGAUCUGAGCAAGGAACUUGACAAGCCCUACAAGAUUCCCUUCUGUCGUGAUGGCAAAGUCAUCACUCCUUAUAAAUCAAUGCACACAGUGAAAACCGCAGUCUCUCAAAUCCUCUCAUCCAUUGCUAGUGUGCGUCACAUGUCGGAAAUUUCGAAGCCUCUCUUAAAAACUCCUCAGUUGAAGGAAAAAUUUGAAGCUUUUCUCGCUGUCCCUCCAGUGGCAGCCCUAAUAGGUACCCACAAAGAUAAGCUUGGUGGAGACUCAACAGAUGGUCCAGAAAAAGAACGAUUGACCAGAGACAAAAUGGUGGAGAUAAACACAGCAUUGAAGCCCAUCACCAAAACUUUCGAGAACAUUUUAGUUUUUCCUAAGCAAGAAAAUGAGGCUUCUGAUGACACAUCUAAUAAAGAAGCUAAUUGCUCUUCUGACAGGAUGUCCUUUUUUGCCCUCGAUAACGAUAAAGGCACGGAGAAUGCUGAAAUUUCUCCAUUACGUGGCUUAUUGAAUAAACUAUUUUACUCUCGCUUCGGCAAAACCUCUCUUCCAAUACCCAAAAAUUGGCUUGUACUAGGAAUUAUUCUCCGAAAGGAAUAUCAAAUUGCCACAGUAGCAGACUGUAUCGAAAUAGGCAAAAGGUUGGAGAUGGAUGAAGAAGAAACCACAAUCUGCCUCCUCUACCUUCAUAGUAUAGGAUCGAUCCUGUACUAUACGGAUGUUCCCAAUGAUGAUGAUCCACGCUGGCUCCUCAAAGGUCACGUCAUCUGCUUACCUCAAGUGAUCUUCGAUAGCAUAAGCCAACUGAUAAUCGUUUCGAUGCAGAAUGUUCAUGAUGGAGGCCUCAACACCGAGUUUGAGAUAGCAGAAUUGAUCAGGAAAGGUCAGUUUACACUAGAGGCCAUCGAGAGACAUUGCAAAGUAGAUGUUCAAGUUUCCAAAAAUCUGAAAAACAAUUUACUAAUACCAUCCGGACCGCUUGUGAAACUUCUCAAGUACCUCAACCUUCUCUCUGAUAUCACACACAAAGAUGAAGAUGGUGAACGAAUCACGUACCUCAUGCCGGCUAUAUUGGAGUGUGCUUCACCAGAGGAGCUGACCAACCCAUCUCAACCAGACAUCAACAACCCAGAACCACUCCACAUCACAUUUAGUUUUGGUUACGUACCAACAGGAGUCUUCUGUGGGCUCAUCACUCGACUAGUUUCCCAAGGCCCUCAUAAAAUUCUCGGAUUGACGUGGGAAUUGGUGGAAGAUGGCAUCAAACGAAACUGCGUCUCCUUUUAUGUUGACUACGUACACAAAGUGACACUGCUCUCUCACGACAGAAGCUACGAGAUACGAGUUGAACGCAAUGCAAAACAGAUGGAUUUAUCUCUUCACGAUCUUUGCUCCCACACUUUGUCAGCAAUCCUGUAUAUGCUCAAGAACCUGUUCCCAAAGUUGAUCCUCAGUGUUGCAUUUCAAUGCUCCUGUCCCAAACACGCAGCAAGCAAGAGUCUCAACAACCUUUGCACCCUUGUUCAAGGCCGAAAGAUCUACUUCCUGUGUGGUAGAAGUCCCGUCACCCUCAGUGAAGCACAACAAGUGUGGUUGGGGAAGCACGUGUGUCUAGGAAACAGGACGGAACUAAAGGUGCUAAAGUUUGCUGAAGAUGGUUUCUCCUUCCACUGGAGCAAAGAGGGCUCCAGACGUCAGAUUAAGACAACUGAUGAUCGGCCCAACACUGUCAGCUUCGCGAGUGUGAGAGAGGAGGACUUUGGUCACUACCAGUGUGAAGUGAAGGAUGCAGCUGCUGGGAAAGUGCUCCUCACUCUCUACACAGCUCUCUACAAAGAGGACACAAAUCCUCUAGCCUCAGGACAGCGCAAAAUGUCAUUGCCAUCAGACGAAAAAGUUGAAACUCUGCCAAAGCGUCCAAAGAAUGAUGUCACUGUACAAGGUAAUGCAGUGACUCCACUAGCCACUCCACACACAACCACUCAGUCAGUUCAUGAGACGACAGCGACUGCAGCUCAGUUGAGUCGUGAGUGCUCUGAUGAAGCUCUUCUCCAGUUGUCUACUGAGAUUGCUGGCUAUGACAGAUACAAGUACAGGCUGGGCCUCAGUGAUGCUGAGAUUGGUGCUAUCGAUCGGAGUACUUCCAUCGUUGAUAACAUCCCAGGGAGGUUUCACGCUGCUCUAAAGAAGUGGAAGAGUAAAAGCAUCAUUCUCGACAAUCCAUCCAAUUCAACAGCUACUUACGGUCGAUUAGUGGAAAUUGCCUCAGAGAUUGAGGACGGAGAGGCAGUUCGCAGCAUUCACAAGACCUGUGUCAAGGAUACACCUAAACCACAUCAGACGAUAGUGACAGCGACUGCCGCUCAGUUGAGUCAAGAGUGCUCGGAUGAAGCUCUUCUUCAGUUGUCUACCGAGAUUGCUGGCUAUGACAGAUACAAACUCAGGCUGGGCCUCAGUGAUGCUAAGAUUGACGCUAUCGAUAAGUGUCCUUCCAUGGUUGAUAAUAUCCCAGGAAGAUUUCUCGCUGCUCUGAAGAUGUGGAAGAGUAAAAGUAUUCUCGAAAUGUAUCCAUUGAAUUCAACAGCUACUUACGGUCGAUUAGUGGAGAUUGCUGCAAAGAUUGAGGACGGAGAAGCAGUUCGCAGCAUUCACAAGGCCUGUGUGGAGCAUACAUGACUGGAGGUCAUGGAUCAGUCAACACCAUCAGACACUACCAACACUAUAGAACCAUAAGCACAUUUGCACAUUAUUUUGUUUUGUUUGACGCUUAUUGUGGUAAUGAAUGAAGUGGCAUGAGUUUUUUUUUUACUGACAAUGUUCUUGGUAUGGAUCAUUCAACUUGGGAACAAAUAUUAGCCAGUAAUCUGGUAAAGUAUCACUGCAGUAAUGAAUUUAUAAAUUUGCACAUGGCCUACUGAGCUAGCUAUCGUAGACUCGACUCUGCAUGCUAUAGACUAGACUAAGAGCUUCACAGCUAGGCAGCAUUGAAAUAGUAUAAAUGUUAUAGCUCCAGUUGCUAACAGAGAUGGCUCCAUGCACACGAGGAGCAGUGUAGAGAGAGAGAGCUAGCCAGAGAGUGACUGUCUCGAGGCAUCCUGACUGAGUGCUGCUGCUGGUGGAUAUGGUGGCUAGUCUGCAGAGGGAGCUGGACAAUGCUAGGGAGGAUUGUCAGCAGAGGAGCAUCCUAGCAAAACUGACCAAACAGUAGAAAUUCCAAAACUGUUUCUGACUGGAGCUGAUCCAAAUAAUUCGCGAUAGUCUCAAAAAUGCAAGCAAAGAUUGGUUUGAUUUAGGAUUGGCUCUCGGAGUGAAUAUUACUGACUUGAAAGACAUUGAAGACCAACACGCUAGUAACAAACGACGCCUAACAGAGAUGGUGGGCAAGCGUCUUGAAGUCACUCAUCCACCCAUGACAUGGCCUUACAUAUGUGAAUGUCUAAGGAGUCCUACUGUUGAGCGUAACGAUGUAGCCGAGGAAAUUGAAGGCAAGUAUGUGAGGACAGCAACUGCAGUUGCUCAUAGUGCCACCAAUUGAUCAUGAGAACCUGACAAGCUUGAAGGGGACGAAUAAAGUAAAGAAGCAUAAAGAAGCAUACAUGCAAGAAUUAAGUAAAGAAUUGACUGACUCUGUGCUAACAAUGUCGUCUAUAUAGCCAUUAUUAUAAAGUAUGAGUACUGUGACAUGUUCAAGCAUUGUUCAUUUGUUCCUUGUAAGGGAUCAGCAUCUUAUUCUUAUAGAAUAAUUAUUUAUAAUUGA